UGACUAAGACAAUGCCUAAGC
This 21-nucleotide unclassified non-coding RNA is filed under the name Mus musculus (house mouse). RNAcentral describes it as "oocyte_clustered_small_RNA13188". The record is from RNAcentral. Lineage: Eukaryota; Metazoa; Chordata; Mammalia; Rodentia; Muridae.